RNAcentral lists this unclassified non-coding RNA (240 nucleotides) under soil metagenome. RNAcentral describes it as "partial contains 5.8S ribosomal RNA, internal transcribed spacer 2, and large subunit ribosomal RNA". The record is from RNAcentral.
AAGACUAUAGACCUGCGGAGUACCUGCGGAAGGAUCAUUAUUGAAUUAUGUUUCUAAAUGGGUUGUGGCUGGCUCGUCAGAGCAUGUGCACGCCUGUUUGGACUUCAUUUUCAUCCACCUGUGCACCUAUUGUAGUCUUUGGUUGGGUAUCAAGGAAGUGGUCAGCCUAUCAGCACUUGCUGGAUGUGAGGACUUGCAGUGUGAAAGCUUUGCUGUCCUUUACUUGAUCAUGGAGUUGUU